CAGAGUAGGAAACCUCGCGUGAAGUGCCGCCAGAAUGGGGAGUUGUAUGGUGGACGAAGGGCUUUUGCCCGCGAUGGGGUAUCCGCACCCGCUG
Molecule: non-coding RNA, 94 nt
Filed under: uncultured Faecousia sp.
Lineage: Bacteria; Bacillati; Bacillota; Clostridia; Eubacteriales; Oscillospiraceae
Description: THF riboswitch
Rfam family: THF (Tetrahydrofolate) riboswitch aptamer
About the family: THF riboswitch presents a pseudoknot that joins P1-P2 and the loop of P3 and two THF binding.
Source: RNAcentral